GUCCACGCCGUAAACGAUGAGAACUAGCCGUUGGAAACCUUAGAGUUUUUAGUGGCGCAGCUAACGCGAUAAGUUCUCCGCCUGGGGAGUACGGCCGCAAGGUUAAAACUCAAAUGAAUUGACGGGGGCCCCGCACAAGCGGUGGAGCAUGUGGUUUAAUUCGACGCAACGCGAAGAACCUUACCUGGUCUUGACAUCCUGCGAACCUUUCAGAGAUGAGAGGGUGCCUUCGGGAGCGCAGAGACAGGUGCUGCAUGGCUGUCGU
This 265-nucleotide ribosomal RNA is filed under the name uncultured bacterium. RNAcentral describes it as "partial 16S ribosomal RNA". It matches the Rfam family "Bacterial small subunit ribosomal RNA", at positions 793 to 1055 of the family's 1533-position model. The record is from RNAcentral.